AAAAAGCGUUCAUAUGACAAGGAGGAUACCAGUUUGUGAACUCGCUCAACAAAUUUCAAUUCAGUUUGAGGCUUUGAACUUCUUCACGACACCACUGUUCCUCAACGGCCAAAUCGAGCUUUAGGUCGUGACUAAGUUCAUAAGAACGCAACUUUUGCACUGUAUGUUGGGGGAGGACUACAAAUGAAUAGCAGACAAAGAAUCCUCGGUGGAGGGGUUCAACAUGUAUUGGACUAUCUGAGACGAAUGCACUCCGAAAAUCCGGCAUUCUUCUAUGCUGUUCAAGAUGAUAACGGGUCUUCUAAUGGAAACAUUUUUUGGGCCGAUGCAACUGCCAGGAUGAACUAUCACUAUUUUGGGGACACUAUCAAAUUGGACACUUCCUAUCGAGCUAAUUGCUAUAGUGUACCUUUUGCCACUUUCACUGGCUUAAAUCAUCACGCCCAGCCUGUUCUCUUUGGCUGUGCUUUUCUUUUCAGCGAGUCUGAGACCUCACUUGUCUGGCUCCUCCAAACUUGGCUUCAAGCAAUGUCUGCACAGAAGCCUGUUUCCAUCACAACUGACACUGAUCAUCUCAUACAGAUGGCUAUUGCUCAUGUUCUGCUAGAAACGCGCCACCGUCUUUGUAAAUGGAGCAUACUUCGAGAUACCAAGGAGAAGCUGACCCAUGUAUGUCAAACACAUCCAACCUUUGAAAUUGAAUUUAUGAAGUGCAUCAAUGAAGCAGAGACACUUGAGGAGUUUGAAUCUCAGUGGAAGUCACUCCUAGAAAGAUAUUACCUCACGGAUAAUGAAUUCCUUCAAUCAAUUUAUAUUGCUCGCCACCACUGGGUUCCUGUUUUCAUGCGAGAGACAUUUUUUGGGGAUUUUUUAAGUGAUGAAGACAAUGAUGCCAAAAACACUUUCUUCGAUGGGUUUGUGAAUGCUUCUACCUCUAUCCAGUUAUUAAUUAAACACUAUGAAAAAGCCAUUACAAUCUGGCAUGAAAAGGAAUUUAAUGCAGACCUUGAUUCUAAUAAUACUACACCAAUUCUAAAGACACCAUCGCCUAUGGAAAAACAAGCAGCUGAUCUCUAUACGAGGAAGGUGUUCAUGAAAUUUCAACAAGAGCUGGUUGAGACCCUUGCAAAUCCUGCAACUAAAAUUGAUGACUCUGGAGCAAUCACAACAUAUCAUGUUGCAAAAUUUGGGGAAGAGCACAAGGCGCACACGGUUAGGUUCAACACACUUGAGUUGACAGCUAACUGUAGCUGUCUAAUGUUUGAAUUUUCAGGUAUAAUUUGUAGACAUGUGUUAUCUGUGUUCAGAGCCAAAAAUGUUCUUACGCUUCCUUCCCAAUACAUUUUGAAACGUUGGACAAGAAAUGCCAAGACUGGUGGUGGAGGCACUAUAGAGGAAAAUCCUUUAGAGUUACCUAGCAAUUCACAAGAGUCUUUAACUAUGCGUCAUAAUAGUUUGCGGCAGGAGGCUAUUAAAUUUGUUGAAGAAGGGGCUAAAUCUAUUCAUAGUUAUAAUGUCGCGAUGAAUGCUCUGAAAGAGGCUGCAAAAAAGGUUUCUGCUGCAAAGAAGAAAAACACCGACAAAACUCAGGUGACAAACAUGGUAAAUGGAUGCAAUCAAGGAGUGGAUGAAGGAGAUAUUGAUCAAGCAGAUUCAGGUCAAUCCAAGGGCACAUCAGGGGAAGAAGAAGGAAACGAAGAAGCCCAACAAGACCCAGUUGACAAGGAAAGUGCCAUGAUGAUUGCUGAAGAGCCAGCUUGGUAUCCACUAGAAGUUCAACCCUUGGACAAUAUGCAAAACACUGAAGGGAGGAAACUACUCGAUGGACAAUUGAAGAGGUUGAGCCUUUGAAUUCACACACCCAAGAGUCUAAGAAGGACCCUGACUUUGAUACACCUAUCUGGGUACACAAAACAUCAUCAAACUUGGCAAAGAAUUUGGGGUUGAUUUCCAAAGUUACAAAAAGGAGGCUUUAUAGAUUUUCAUGAAGAUUGAUCAAAAAAGGCAAAACACAUGGGUACUGCAGGAACAAUGGUGACACAACUCCUAAAAUCAAGGGGUCAAAAGAAUUGAAGAACCUGGACAUUGGGAGCAGUUUCAAAAGCAAUGGUGCCAGAUGCAGAGGGGGCUACCACAUCAAUCAAGAUCAAUGAAAGUCAACAUUGUCUCACGGAAUGUGAGGGGCUUGAACAAGGCAAGGAAGAGGAGACUGAUCAACAGCUGCAUUAAUACUUGGAAAGCAGAUGUCUAUUGCUUUUGGUAGAUCAAAAUUGAAGGAGAUAUCACAAGAUUGUGAAAGAUUUAUGGGCCAACAGAUGGUGCAGAUUUGCACAACUGGAGGCUACUGGUACCAGAGGAUGCAUUUUACUGAUGUCGGACAACAGAAAACUGGGUAUGGGAAGGUGAAACCACCAGCUUGGUUUCCACCUCUAUCACAUGAAGAGAAGGAACAAAAGAUUCGUGAAUUGACUGCCAAGUUGGAUUGCAUAAAUCAACGAUCUGAAGUUUAUCGUGCCAAU
Nicotiana tabacum (common tobacco) is the source of this 2519-nucleotide non-coding RNA. The record is from RefSeq and is a predicted model, not a curated record. NCBI's taxonomy places the organism in Eukaryota, Viridiplantae, Streptophyta, Magnoliopsida, Solanales, Solanaceae.